Molecule: long non-coding RNA, 7787 nt
Filed under: Equus caballus (horse)
Lineage: Eukaryota; Metazoa; Chordata; Mammalia; Perissodactyla; Equidae
Description: lncRNA (ENSECAG00000049025.1)
Source: RNAcentral
AUCCGUCAGUCAUUUAACAGACUGGAUGGAUACACAUCAACAAAUGUGGUGGGUGUUUCUGAGAUUACAUCAGUUUCAUUUUCCACUUGGGCCUUUUUUUAAGCGUCCACAUUUGCCACCAAGAAACACACUCAUAACUGGGGGAAAGUUAAGUGCCGUAUAUUUUUGAAUCUCUUGGAGAGGUGAAGGGCCGUUAUUUCCUGCUGGGUACUGUCCUCCUUUUCUUGCUUCACAAACAAAACCCGGAUGUGACUUGGGAACGGAAAAAAAAAAAAAAAAAGAACAAAAAGUAAAACUUCUGUUGUUUCUCCAGGAAAGUGGGCUAGCGCAACCCCAACCCUUGGGCCCCCGCCCAGGCAGGUCCCCCGCGGGCGUGGCACGACCCCCGCAGGGAGAUCAAGCAGCGCGAAGCUUUUCAGCGUCCUGGAGCCGCCUCUCAAACGUAACCCUACUCGGGCUCCCUGGGGCAAGGUUCCCGGGGUGGAGGGGACCUGAGAACGAGACCAGGGGUUUUAGGAUCCUGGGUCGCUGGGCAGGGCUGGCGUGACGGGGCGGCCCGGAGGCAGCUGAGCCCCCGGGCGCGGGGGACCACCGCGCGGGAGGCGGUCACGUCCUGCGCCGGCGGGCGGGGUGCGCAGGCACCGCAGUUAUUUCGGGACGCGCCGCGGUUCGCAGCACUUCCAGCCGCUCCACUUCCAGAGCUGUCCCAGGGCCCGGUUCUGGGGCGAAAAUGCCGGCCCUUCACAUCGAAGAUUUGCCAGAAAAGGAAAAGCUGAAGAUGGAAGUUGAGCAACUUCGCAAGGAGGUGAAGUUGCAGAGACAACAGGUAAUUCGGCUGUCCCAGAAUAUUUCCUUCUCUGAAAUCCAACAAGGUCAGCUUUUCCCGGUUUGUUACAGUAAAACAAACAGGGUUUGGGGUUUUUGUUUCUGCAGCUUCUCUUGAAGUAGGGCUUUAGUGGUACCUGGGAACUGCCAGUUGUUGUAGGGACAUCAUAGGAGGUAAAUGAGAGAGCAAGGAUCCUAUGAGUAAUUUAAACCCGAAUGUCCGAACAUCUGAGGAGCCUAGAAUGGGGGAAAUAGACAAGAACUGCUACCUGAUGGUAGAGAGUUGGCUUUAAAAGCUCAAGCUGUAGGAAAAGGCAGAUGGCUAGUUAGUUCCUUGAUCUUUUUCAUUACGGGAAAGAAUGGUAUUUGAAAGGUUUUUGUUUUGUUUUGUUUAAUCACAAUUUAAAGUCUUGAAUUACCUAAUUUUGAAUUCCACCGGGGAUCUCCAGAGCUGUGCAACGAACAGCCCAUUGGAGCUUGGGAGCAAAACAUUACAAUCUAUUUUUCUUUAUUUGUAAAUAUCAUCCCUUUAUAAUUUCCAUCCCUUUAAAAUUUCCAAAUUAUAAUUUCCAUAAUUUUCAUAUGCACCUCAGUAUGUGUAUAAGCAUUUAUUUAUAAAUAAAUACAGAUACUACUGUAUUAGUUCAUUGUGCAUACCUAUAAAACAUAACAUCUGCUGCCAAUCUCCCUCUUUUUUGCUCAGGAAGAUUGGCCCUGAGCUAACAUCUUUGCCAAUCUUACUCUAUUUUGUUUGUGGGUCCACAGCAUGGAUUGAUGAUUGGUGUAGGUGCACACCUGGGAUCAGAACCUGUGAACCCCAGCUGCUGAAGCAGAGCAUGCUGAGCUUAACCACUAUGCCACCAGGCCAGCCCCAUGGAGAGAUAUUUUUUAAGGAAAAUGAUCUAGUCCUUUCUCCAUAGCAAGAAAAAUUUAAACAAUUUCAUUUCUCUAUGGUUUAAUACUAGGAAAAAAAUUAAGAAAAACAAGGGAAAUGAAGCAGAUGUGGUAAGUAUGCUCACUUGCCUUCCUGCUCUAGUCAUGGUAAAGCUGUUCAUACCAAGAGUUUUGUCACUCAGAAUGUACAUUUAGAGUGAUGUUUGGAAGAUGCACGCUUUUUUGAGUUUUACUCUUUAUACAUUUCUUUUCUCAAAUUUAAUCCUUCACUUCCAAAUACCUACUCUUCCUAGAUUUUGGAGUGCAAAGUCCUUUUUAUUGAUGUUGAGAGUUUUUAUAGCUUUAAAAACACAGCUGUGUUUAGGGGCUGGCCCAGUGGCGUAGGGGUUAAGUUCACAUGCUCUGCUUGGGCCGCCUGGGGUUUGCGGGUUUGGAUCCUGGGCACAGACCUGGCACCACAUGUCAAGCCAUGCUGUGGUGGUGUCCCGCAUAAAAUAGAGGAAGAUUGGCACAGAUGUUAGCUCAGGGCCAAUCUUCCUCACAACAAAACAAAACAAAACAAAAAAACCCAAAACAAACAAACAAAUAUAGCUGUGUUUAAAGAAAAAAAACAAAGUUACAGGAUCUAAUAUGUAGACUUGUUUCUUGAAAUUUUAAGGGACCCAUUUUGUGAAUGGCAAAGCCCGCAGUACAGCAUGUGUUGACCACUUAGAUUUUUCACACCGUGAACCUUCGAGGUUCCAUAUUAAGCAGAGUUGUAUGCACUGAAGUAAAGCAUUGUCUGUGCAGGGUUGAAUAUCUUAAUAUCUGGUAUCACUAUGCAGAAUUUAUAGGGCAAAAAAGAGGCAAGUGUCUUCUUGUUAUUUAAAGCUUCAGAUUAGGAAUUUGUGGGGGCCUGGAUGCAGCUGCCUGUGUGGAAAUUAAAGGUGUCUUUCGUUAGCAGUUUCUCCUUGCCAGCUCCCCACUUCCACCCCUCAGGACACACCCUGCUGGAUGGACUUUCCAUCCGGAAGCUCCAGGUGUUUGCCAGAGGGAGCGAAAGCUUCUGAAAUGGCCUUAGGGGAUAAAAGGAGAGGCAUCAAUUCCUAAUAAUAAUAUUCAAACAUUUGAUUCUCCACCUUUAAUUAUAGGGUAUUAGUGCUACACAAAUAUGGCUCUUAGAGAUCAUUCAACUCUCUCACUUUUAAGGAGGAAAAACUAGAAUCCCAAGGAGGCUAACUAGCUCCUCAUUUAAGACCUCAGAGACAACGAUAGGGUAGUUACAAAAACACGCCUUCUGAUGCCCAGUCCAUUAUUCUGUCAAUAAAUUGUUCAUGUCUGAGCUGGGUGCUCUGCUCAGGCCAAGGACACAAAAUUCACAGGCUGAAUUCUGGCUCCAGCUAAGUGUUGUUCAAACAUAUCCUCUUGAUCAUGGAAGGAAAUGCAUCAAAGGAGUAAUUAUUCACUUUGAGAGGUUACAGAUCUCUUUGGAAAUCUAAUGAAGAAGCCUCUUUAAGAAUGGAUACAAUUUGGGGAAACUUGAAUCUUAUCCACAAAUUUCUCUGGGGCCACAGACCCCAGGUUGUGGAUGCUUGCAUCAUCACUGCUGAGAAUUCACUUAAAAUGCACACACCGUGAAUGCCAGCAGCAAUUGAGAGCAGAUGCUACCUGGGAGAAUGAGUGAUACCUGAGAAGAUUUUAUUUUGCCACACUUUAAGUCAUAUAACUACAUCACUUAGUUUUAAAUUUAAAUCAGUGGCCUUCACAUUGGUGUGCAAAGAGUCUUUGGGGUGUGGGAGUAAAAUAUGAAAAUUUCUAUCUUUGGUUAGUUUUAAAUCUCAUCUUUUUAUAAUUUCCAGGUUAUGUUUUAUAAUUAUGCUUGCUGUAUUAACACAGUAGCAUCAGCACUUAUUUAUAAGUAAAUAAUUAUAUACAUUUUGGGAUACAUAUACAAACAUGUUUUAGUGAUCACCAUUAAAACAGUUUGAAGAUUACUAAUCUAGAUGACAAAUUCAGUGGGAACAAUUUGCCUAGUUUUAAAAGGUUUCCAUUGGGAUUUCCUCGAGCUUCUCUAAUUUUUACUUCUAAUUUCUUACUAGUAAUGCAGGCCUUUAUUAAGACUCUAAUCCUUCUUUUUUUCCUUUCCUUUUUUUUCUCACUCUUGCAACCUGUCUCUUCAAGUUAGAUAUUUUGAAGAAACUAUUCCAUCCUUUCUCCAUUGCAAAUAAAGUUUGAAGUGAUUACGUAAACACAAGAGUCCUAGACAAGCAUGGUCACCUUAGAUAACUCUUCUAUCAGGAUCAUUGUCCUCAAGCAACGGGAAGGAAUUCUGAGCAGAGACACAGAAUGAGACUGAGCAACUCCAGCUUUUCCAGAGUCAGACUUUCUCCAAUGCUUCUGUCAUUUUGUGAAAUGCAGAACCUGGCACUCACCCAUAAUAAAUGGGAAUUUUGGCAGGACACACUCCAAAACAUUUGGGAAUUUACUACUGCACCUGCUCAUUAGCAUGGAAGAUUGAAAGCAGGGUAUGUUUUAGUUCCUAAAAUAUUGUGGACACGUCAUAAUUAAAUUUUAGCAGAGUGAGGAAGUCAUAUGAGGAACAAUCAAUCGAAAUUGCCAGAGAUGAUCUAUUUAAUACAGUGACUUUCAAACUUUUUGACUCUGACCACAGUCACAAAUAUAUUUUCCAUAGAUUGUAUCAUUCAUAUGUAUUCCAUAUGUUCUGUGAUGCUUGCUAAUAUUUUUAUGCGGUUCUACUUCAUUUUUCAAAAUGCUGGUUGUACCCAAUUAUAUUAAUUUCACUAAAGGGUGGUGACAAAGUUUUAACAAUCCUGACCUAAUUCAUUUUUUUUUCUCAAGGUGUCUAAAUGUUCUGAAGAAAUAAAGAAUUACAUUGAAGAACGUUCUGGAGAGGAUCCUCUGGUGAAAGGAAUUCCAGAAGACAAGAAUCCCUUUAAAGAAAAAGGCAGCUGCGUUAUUUCAUAAAUAACUCUGGGGAGACGCUUCAUCCUCAGUGGAAGAACUAGCUUGUUUUAGUUUGCCAGAAUGAAACCGACAUGCCUUUUAAAGAGAAAAAAAAAAAAAGAAUGAAAUUUAAAGGAGACUUUCUUCAGCACUUAUAUAGAUAUGGUUCUGUAUACAAGCUAUGUGCUUCUCAUCUUUGCUCACUACACUCCCCUUUUAAGAGGGCAGAGAGUAUCAAAUGUGCAGUUAUGGAAAGAAGGACAUUACUUGUGCAUGACUCACCUCUUUCAGUAUAUUGCUUGAUGCCUCAAAUAAAGUUUUAUCUCUGAAAAAUGAGUGUUGAUGAUUUAAGACAGCAUUUAAUUUUUUUGGCCUUAAAUUUUAUAUUUUUCCCCAUAACCUUUCUGGUAUUUGGGACAUGUAUCAAAAGAUGAGGUGGUUUGAUAGAUCAGUUCCCCAAUCCAGCUCUCUCUGCUUCAAUUCUUAGGAGGUUUACAGUGCUGAGUUCUGACUUCUGGAAUGUGUCUGAUCUAACGUUAACUAUUAGGGAAUUGAGUGAAUAGAACUGAACGCUAACAGGAAUCAGAUUAUUUGAGUCAGGAACCAGGCCAAGCCAUGCCUACAUAAGCACUUCUGUGGUUUGUCAUCAUACAGAUCUUGUUCAAACUGUUGCCGCAACAGUGGCCUUAGGAUAGGGAGAGGGUUGGGGUCAAGAGGAGCACCCGGGCGCCAGCCCUGGAAUGUUCACCCUCAGGGAGCUGCACCUCCUACAGGCUCUGCAGGUCUUGGCAUGGCCACCCUCCAGCUCUGUGUCAUUGGAACAGAGACUUGGUUCUGCGUGGCUUGGGCCAAGCACUGCUCUUUUCCUUCUCCUCCAAAGGGACAAGUUAACCUUGUACCCAUUUCUAAAAUUAGCUUGCUUUUUUCUCAUUGAUUUGCAGGAGUUUUUAAUAUAUUCUGACCAUGCAUCCUUUGUCGGUGAUAGGUGUUGGAGGUGCCUUCUCCCAGUCCAUGGCUUAACGUUCCACAGCGGGACCAUCGCUGCAGCGAUUUUAGCCCGCAGAUGCAGCACACCAGAGUACAUGGGCUGCUCAAGUCCUUCAUGAAGACACCCGUAGCCGGACCUUAAAGAAAGGGACCUUUCUUCCUCUCUUUGAGCAUUCUUCCUCCCUCUCCCUCUGUCUUUUGGAUGCAAGUUUCACCAGGUUUGAGCCAAAAACAAGACAAGGAAAACCCUUACAGGUUAGCUCCAGCUCAAGUGGGCUCAGUUACUAACUCCUCCUGCAAUUUUACAUAUGACACCAGAAACCCAGGUUUCUGCUUGACGAGGUCUUUUCUCCAGCCUAGAUGCAUAGGUGUGCUUCAUCAAGCCAGAGAGGUGCCUGUGACUCCAGCAGCUUCCUCAAGUCUAUCAGCACCUUCACUAGGAACUACUUUCCCUUCCCUCUCCAAGAAGGAACGGGAUACCCCAGGCUUUUGAAAGAGCAGGUUACGGCAAACCAAGAGCUGGGAAUAUUUCCUUCAGUUUCUUGCCUUUUUUCCAAGUGUUGAAGUCAAUUGGGAUUACUGAGAGCCCAGGGAUAAUUUUACUCCAAAGGAGGAUUUACUCCAAGAGAGGAGCAGGAUGAUCAGAGAAGGAAAGUGCUGUGGGAGCUCUCCUGUUAGGAUGAACCCUGAUCCCCUACUCUGUGCGCUGAGCUGUCCUAAUCAAGCAAGACCGGGACGUCGUCAUCAGCACCUUUCCACUUGAGCUGCAUUCACUUUGAGAGGGUGAAUCCACAGACCAUUAAAAAACAUUCACUUACGUUGGGAGAGUAGAGACGCAUUGAUGCCAAUUCUUCCUUUCUCUUUUGGUUCACACACACAUUAAAUGAUUACCUUCUCUUCUUUUUAAAAGAAAUCCCUGAUAUUAAAGAGUGCAUAAUUUCAUUGAACAUGAAAAUGAGCAGUCAAGGUGGGAUCAAAAUAGGUGAAUUAUAAAUUUCAGAAAUUGGCCCAGAAGUUAUUGUACAAAAGUUACACUUAAAAUAAAGGGGAAAAGUCCUUGUAAAAUUCAACAGUCAUGAAAAAUAAUUCAUCUUGAUAUGCAUAUAAAUAUAUGUAUGCAUUUAUUCAACAAAAAAGCGCCUGGAGCUCCCUCUGUGUACUAGGUGCUGAUUUAGGCCUAAAAUAUAUAGUGGUGAAUUAGACAAAGUCCUUAGCAUCGUGGAAUUUACAGAAAAUAUAAUUAAUCAGAUAUAUGUGGAAAUUGCACAGUAUAUUAUGAUGUAUAAGUUAGGGUAAAUAGGAAAAUGUUUUUUGUAUUUUUUAAUGAUGAUACUGAUGAUGGCAUGAUGAUGAUGAUGAUGACUUAUACAUUUGAAGUGCUUAAUAUUUAUUUGACACUGGAGUAAGCUUUUGACAUAGAGCGUAUCUUUUGAUUCUCAGAAGUACCUAUGUAUCUGGUAAAUAAUUUACACAAAGUCAUACAGCUAGUGUAACUGUCAAAGCAUACACUGUGCCUUAAACGCUAUACAAUACUACUUCUCUACUACAAGCCAACACAUAUGCACAGUGAAAAGAGCUAUUAGCUCAACAACUUUCUGAAGUGGCUUUUGGUAUAAGUAUAGCUAUUUGGUAUAGGUACAGCUACUAUAGCCUCAGAAAUUUUUAGCACUGACGUAUGACGUAGAGUUUUAUAGUAGUUCAUUUUAGUUGUUCUUACUGCUUGGUUGGUUGUUUGGUUGGUUGGUUGGUUGAUUUCCUAUAUUCACAGCCUAAUACAACAAUUUUAACCUAUAUCAAGUGGGAGAAUUUUGCUUUCAUAAUAAAAACUAUCUCACAAUUCUAAAUUAUGAUGAGUGAUAAACUCUAAUUAUAUAUCAAAUCGCUUUUGCUCAUUUGCUGAAUAAUAUAAUCUCUCAAUUUAGUACCAGAAUUUAUCUGAUAGAAGCUACAUGAAUUAUUGUAGAGUGCCUAGAAGAAAUAAACUGGACUCUGUAAGGACUUUCUUGAAAAUACCAAAAUUAUUAAAUGAUAGUCAGUCUGCAGUAGAGAAUUGCCUACAGGUACCAAAGAAUUUUCUCUGAAAUGUGAUCUAACUCUGUCUCUGUAAAAGCUUGUAUGUUUUCUUUAAUAAAUGUGGC